GAGCAAAUUUUGCAUAAGAGAACAAAGAAAAAAUUGUACUACCUCUGAGACGAGUGACAUUCAAAUUCAUUCGGAUUAAAAACCGAGCGGAAGGGUUGAAUCGGGAAUGAAUGAGUCAAAGUUGACGCAAUAAUUGAUUUACUAUUUUCGGAUGGAGUUGAAAAAAAAAUAUUUAGCCAGAGGAUGUUAAACUUUCGAUAAAUCCGUUAACUCCUCAAAAAGUAGGUCGUACUCAUUGGGGGAGCAUAUACGUUACAUAAAAUCUCUAAAAUUUCUCGCACUUGCAGACGUGCGAGUAUUUUUUUUUUUUUUCUCUUACUGUGUUGAUGCGAAGCGCGCGUCUGAGCGCACCUCGCGUCGUAGUAAAAUUUUCUUUUACUAAUUGUACUAUGAGGAGGAGUAGCGAUACAUGGUUAGCGUAUCCUCUCGCGUAUCCUUCGUAAUUUAACGCCAAGGUCAUACGUCGUCGAAAGCGGACGUACCGCAUCGAAUAAGGUUGCAGCAGCAGCAGCAGCAGCAGCAGCACCGACAGGUGAAAGCGAUGGGAAUUCAACUCCGAUCGAUUCGACGUAGUUCCUCGAUUUUUACCUCGGGUUGAGAACGCGGAAUAAAAACAUAUCAAGGAUACGAAGAAGGUGGGGAGUGAGAUGUUGCAUAAUGUAACGAUGAUAAUAUCCAGGACAUGCGUUACACUUGAAACCAGUCGGCCGAACUGAUCCACGUACAGGUAUUACGAGUACACCUAUAGCCGAAAGGUCGCGUCGCAUCUAAAAUUAUGGUAAAGAUGUGUCUGUAUAGUAUGUCGCUAUACGGUACAGUAACAUUACAUAUUGGUCCAGAUCAGAUUUGACUCGGCUCAAGUUUGUAUGCACAUAUUUUAGAAUGGAAUUAUAAUGACAAUGAAAUUUAGUAAGCGAUGUGUCAACGUCGACUGAAAUACCUAUUCAAAGUCAAGUUCAAUUCCACAACGGAACUGGUAGUGCUUCACAUCUAGUUAAUUAUAAUAUUAUAGGCUCUUCGAACUUCACGUUGCAUGUCGAUAAAAUCAAACUUGUAUAAUAACUUUGUUGUAAUGAAGUCAAUGGAAUUUUUUCACGAUAUCUAGGGCACGGUGCCGUGCAAAAAGGUUUAAUCGAACGCGGAAACUCCGUAUUUCUUUACUUAAUUUCCCAUAUUAUAUAAUAUGUUUGUGUAUAUCUGUGGAUUAUAUAUUAACAACCGGUUUCUCAUAAUUUUGCAACGCUAUCAACGCAAUCCUUGUAGGUAUAGUUAGCUAACUUAUAAUCAUUAUACUACAUACACGUACAGGUAUAGCGGUGACCCAGUGGCAAUGCUGCUGCUGUGAUCUAGCGUGUUUCUCUUGUGGCCAUUGCCGAGGCUGAAUCUCCGCGAAGUUCACAGACGGAAUUCUAGCCAGUUUCCGGGAUUUCGUAUCCAUAAUUAAAAAUCUAAACGUACUCGAAUCCGUCGACCGGCCGAAACACCGAAGACUAGCUCGGAUCGGACACGAGGGAUGCGAAGACGCGGGGAUUAUUUUGCACCGCGUCGAGUGUCGGGGGAACGAAAUUUCUCUCACCGGGCCAACGUUUCUUCUCUGCUGAUUUUCUAUCCCAUCCGGUCACUCGAAUUUCAGGUGCAAUACUGAGAAAUUCUACUUGCAAGAAAAAACUAGGAAAUAAUACGUAACGCUCCGCAUUUUCUGAACGGUCAUGCAGGCGACAACGUCCGAGAAAGUUUACUACAAUUUAACUCUUGAUAUACGAAGCAUGACAAUAGCUGGUAUAUGAAUGAUCACCUCCGCAUGGUCCAGAAACUCCAUGGAAUUCGAUUAUUUUACUCCGUACGCGUUACACGGUUCUAUUUGUGCCGUAAUCGUGCCGAGUCCAUGAGUUGUUUAUGGUCAGGGAAAGUGAUUUGGAAAGAGAACGGCUUUCUUGUUCGCUUCGUUGCGAUAUGUCAACGCGACCCGAGUCGUCGCUUACGUUUUUCAGCUACGCGAGUGACCAUAAAAUCCAACACCCCCGCACCUUAAUUAGGAUCAUCUCGGACAAUCGAUAAUCGUAUACGUGUGCAUCUCAAUAAUUCGUGCCAUCACAAUGCCUGGAUUAUCCGAACACGAGCACCACAGGUGUUCUCCAGGGGUUUCGAGGCCAUCGGACACAACUUCACAAUUGAAAUACUCGAUACGUGUCUGCGGCUCAUGUUGCGAGACAAUCUGUCGGAUUGACGAACAAAUGUGAUUCCCGAUGAAUUUACAUUCAAAGCAUAUAAAAAAACUCCAGAUCAAAUUUUCAUUCGUAUCCAACAAACUGAAAUUCAUUGCCAAAGUUUUUUAUUUAUUUAUCGAUUCAUUUCUUGUUUUUCUCUAAAAAAUUUGUACGAGAGAAAUUUGUAAUAAAAAUCCAUGGGAACGAAGGGUAUUCCGUUUCCGGGGACAAUUAACAAUUAUUUCUGAGCGUCAUAUUCGUCGUGUACGAUACGAGAGUUAGGAAACUAAUGGUUAUUUGGGUCAGAGUCAUGCAGUAUUUGGUACGAUGGAGGCCUUAGCAUACAGCGAAUGGCUAUCGUUCUGCUACAGGUUAACGUUUGCAGUCGCGGUUAUAAUUACUAUUAGGUAAUGAGCGUACCAGCGGGUGUGCGCUGCCGUAUAAAUUAGCCGCAAGCAAUCGCGACAAGGCGAACGGUUUCGGACCGAUGAAUUUUUCGUAACCAAAACACACACGCUCUAGGCCAAGCGAAGCUGCCAGCGAAAGUAAUUCUCUCCACUUCGACUAUACAUACAUAUGAAAUCACCGAAUACCUAAAUACGCCUUUUACCCAAGUCGAUUCAUAGGAAUUUCAUUGACGCCACGCAUCGUCAUCGUCACACCCAAUAAGGAAGUCAUAAGUAUUAUAAGGGUCCGAAAAAAGGCUGGUGUUCUUUUGCAUUGGUUUUCUUUUUUUCUAAUUGGAAGUAAUUCAUUAAUAUUUAAGAUACACCGGCCUUGAUGAGAUGUCUUGAAACUUUUACAUUGUUUUCUCAUUUUUUCUAUUCGUAGUUUUGUCAAAGAAUACAACGUCACGAAAUGAAAUUUUCGAGUUAUUUUUUCUCACGAUGGAAAAUAAUAAUUCUGGGCAAUCGGGAUCAUAUGGAUUCAUCGUUUUCCGUUAUGUCACCGUUUUACACAAUGUCAAAAGCAUACGAUUAAAUUUUUUUUCUUAAUUGCAAUUAUUCAUAGAACCGAUAGGAUUCCGGUGUUUCUCGAUGGCGUAAUAAUUCGACCAACGAAUUACUUUUUAAUUUGCCUCGAGGAGUAGCCGAAGAAAGUGGUCAUUCAAUAAAACAUCCGACAGGUUUUUAAAGCGCCUGCAUGACGUUGCAAAUAUACGUAUAAGUUACAUCGCACCGAUGUACAGGCUUCUCAUCGUAGUUCGGUUACAUUUACUUUUGAAACCUAUUAAAAUCUAUAACGUUACAAAAUACGGUAAGAGCUGUUCGAAAUUUUUAUAUUAUGAUAUAAUACCAGGCAUACGCAGGUAUAUAUUACUCGUACGAAAAGUUAAGCUAAAGACAAUUAUUCAGAUCUGAAGUGAUCGGCGAUACAGUUGCAUAACCUGAUAAUAAUGAUAAUGAUAAUAAUACAGGUAAUAAUAACAAUAUCAACGAGAUACUUUCUAUUUUACCGCGAAGUCAUUCGAAAAUCACACACGAGAGAUCGGAGUAAUUCUACGUAUGGGUGUAUUUAGUAAACCCAUAGAUAUACCUUUACUUAUGGGGAUUCUUUAUAAUUUUGCGCUUUUUUUUAUUCUAAUCAAUAUCAGCGGAAUUUCACAUGGGCCUACGUCUGAUCGAUCUUCAUUUUAUAUUCUCAACGAACACGUGCAAUGUUGGGACUAAAAAAAAAACCAAAACGAAGUCGAGUAACUUAUCGGUAUCAUAAAUCGGUUCCCUGCAAAACCUGGUUGAGUUCCCGGUGUACCGAAGUGCAUGCUCGCCACUUGUUGCAUAAUUCAUACAUAUAUGUAUAUAGGAUAUCAUGUUAUACAUGUCUAUAAACCUGAAUGUUGAUAGACAAGACUGGAAUCAGGAACUGCCCAUAUGGUACAUGACUGGUGAUUUCAAACUCGUAUCCAGAAAUUUUCAAACGUCCCAAGUUGGUAGAGAUUACGAAUAUCUGCAGACCUCCGAGUUACAAAAAAGUGUGAGCAUUUAUCGAGGAGUCAGAUUUUUUCUUGAGACCAACGAGAGACCUCGGAAAUACAUCCGUCACACGAAGUUAUUGGAAGGCCUAGUUCAUGACGAAAUAACGGAUUUUAUUUUUAUUCGAAUUCCAAAUACUUUCGACAUACGAUUAGCCGGUGAUUAACCGAUAAUGUAAUCGUCGAAGAUCGGAACAAUUUUAUAUUAACGAUAAAAUUAAAAAUCCUGAUAUUUCAAUCACAUCGCGCGUAUAGCGGAGAAGAAUUCUCCGAUCAAUUUCUGGUUCGAUUCCACUAUAAAUGCAUCAGAUCGAUUUCUGCAUUACCUUAUUACACUCCGUGUCAUUAGUUGAUUACUUUCUUGCAUUUUUCUAUAAUUAUAUUACUGAUUCCAACGAUGAAUGUACGUACGUGAAGUUUAAACUUUUUUAAUAAAAAAAGAACAAAUGAUCACAUACAGAUACAGCGUAUUGCGCAUUUUGGUUUCGUGACUCAGUUGUUACGUGAGAAAAUUGUGUCAUUAUGUUACGUUUAAUGUUUUACAUGUUACAUACGUUCUGUGCCUAUACAGUUGUGUGUAAAAUUAGACGAAAAAAAAUAGAUAUGCCUAUACAAUACAGGCAAUGUAAACGUAAGGAAUUUAGAAAAGAGAUACCUGAAUGAUAUAAUACAUAAACGAGCUGUAUAGAAGUGACUGUGUAAAAAACACCCUCCGGCAAAUUUUCUGUAUAGGUACCAUCGGAUGAAGAAUCCUCCAUUGAACGGACAGACGCGUUCAAGAAUUUCAUCGCUAUUUUAUUAUUUUUUGAUACGGCGUAGCGAUUUGUUCACUUUAAUCCGUUCAAAUUGGUGUCGAAAAUAAAAACCUAUUCAAAUUUCAUCUAAGUGUAAAUCAGAGAAUGCUGACGGGGCCGUUUGAAAAAAAUUUCAAAAUUACAUGAAUAAAGACGUAAAAAUUAUAAUGACAAGAACGUCCGUUUAAAUUUCAAAGGGUCAUGUACCGGCGCACGAUGAAUUUAAAAAAGAAUAAAAUCUGAUCCAAGGACGUCGGAGAAAAUUUUGGAAUAUGGUCAGGUGCUACACGUGUUGCACGUUCAGAUUCAACCCAGAUAAUAAUUAUGCGAGAUGAUGUUAAAACCGCAGACUUUGAAAGACAAACUCUCUUCUACGUCCUUGAAAACGGAAGCCCUACAUUCGGAUACCUAUCCGAUGUUGAAAAUUCGGUACAAAUAACUCAGCAGCUUGAAGCUAUUCCGAAGAUUUAGCGUCGCGACGGUAAACGGAAAUAGAAAGUUUUUCGUCAUCAACCUAAAGCAAAUCGUAAAUGAAUAACCAAAUGACAUAGAAAUCGAUAUCAUUCUGUUUCAAUAAAUUCCAUGAAAAAAAAAAGAAAAC
Athalia rosae (coleseed sawfly) is the source of this 5574-nucleotide long non-coding RNA. RefSeq lists it as uncharacterized. NCBI's taxonomy places the organism in Eukaryota, Metazoa, Arthropoda, Insecta, Hymenoptera, Athaliidae. The record is from RefSeq and is a predicted model, not a curated record. The transcript has 3 exons.